GAAACUUAAGUUAAAUUAAACUAAGAGCCUUCAAAGCCCUCAAUAGAAGUUAAUACUCUUCUAGUUUCUG
This 70-nucleotide transfer RNA is filed under the name Anomaloglossus sp. 'Bakhuis'. RNAcentral describes it as "tRNA-Trp". The record is from RNAcentral. Lineage: Eukaryota; Metazoa; Chordata; Amphibia; Anura; Aromobatidae.